This 594-nucleotide ribosomal RNA is filed under the name uncultured marine eukaryote. RNAcentral's name for it is "SSU rRNA". It matches the Rfam family "Eukaryotic small subunit ribosomal RNA", at positions 1 to 598 of the family's 1831-position model. The record is from RNAcentral.
UACCUGGUUGAUCCUGCCAGUAGUCAUAUGCUUGUCUCAAAGACUAAGCCAUGCAUGUCUAAGUAUAAGUGUUAUACAGCGAAACUGCGAAUGGCUCAUUAAAACAGUUAUAGUUUAUUUGAUAAUCGAAUUUACAUGGAUAACCGUGGUAAUUCUAGAGCUAAUACAUGCUGGUGUGCCCGACUUUUGCGGAAGGGCGGUAUUUAUUAGAUAACAAGCCAAUAUUCCUCUGGUCUAUUGUGGUGACUCAUAAUAACUGAUCGAAUCGCAAGGCCUAUGGCCGCGAUAAGUCAUUCAAGUUUCUGCCCCAUCAGCUUUCGAUGGUAGUGUAUUGGACUACCAUGGCGUUUACGGGUAACGGAGGAUUAGGGUUCGAUUCCGGAGAGGGAGCCUGAGAAACGGCUACCACAUCUAAGGAAGGCAGCAGGCGCGUAAAUUACCCAAUCCUGACUCAGGGAGGUAGUGACAAGAAAUAACGGACCGGGACCCUUUGGGUCCUCGGGAUUGCAAUGAGCCGAAUUUACACCCCUUAGCGAGGAUCAAUUGGAGGGCAAGUCUGGUGCCAGCAGCCGCGGUAAUUCCAGCUCCAAUAGC